RNAcentral lists this ribosomal RNA (398 nucleotides) under uncultured bacterium. RNAcentral describes it as "bacterial SSU rRNA". It matches the Rfam family "Bacterial small subunit ribosomal RNA", at positions 27 to 416 of the family's 1533-position model. The record is from RNAcentral.
GGAUGAACGCUGGCGGCGCGCUUAACACAUGCAAGUCGAGCGAGAACCGGGCCUUCGGGCCUGGGGAAAGCGGCGAACGGGUGAGUAACACGUGGGCAACCCACCCUUGGUAUCCGGAUAGCCCGAGGAAACUCGGAUUAAUACGGAAUGGCCCAACAGCUCUUCGGGGCGGUUGGAAAAGGUAGCUUCGGCCUCCGACCAAGGACGGGCCCGCGGUGGAUUAGCUUGUUGGGUGGGGUAAUGGCCUACCAAGGCGACGANCCAUAGCUGGUCUGAGAGGACGACCAGCCACACUGGAACUGAGACACGGUCCAGACUCCUACGGGAGGCAGCAGUGGGGUAAUUUUGGACAAUGGGCGCAAGCCUGAUCCAGCAAUGCCGCGUGAGUGAAGAAGGCC